GACGAACGCUGGCGGCGUGCUUAACACAUGCAAGUCGAACGGGUCUGCCCUGUUUUUUGCGGGGUGGGUCAGUGGCGAACGGGUGAGUAACACGUGAGUAACCUGCCCCUCACUUCUGGAUAACCGCUUGAAAGGGUGGCUAAUACGGGGUGUUCUGGCUGUGCCGCAUGGUGUGGCUGGGAAAGAUUCACUUUUGUGGUGUUUUGGUGGGGGAUGGGCUCGCGGCCUAUCAGCCUGUUGGUGGGGUGAUGGCCUGCCAAGGCUUUGACGGGUAGCCGGCCUGAGAGGGUGGGCGGUCACACUGGGACUGAGAUACGGCCCAGACUCCUGCGGGAGGCAGCAGUGGGGGGUAUUGCACAAUGGGCGGAAGCCUGAUGCAGCGACGUCGCGUGAGGGAUGGAGGCCUGCGGGUUGUGAACCUCUUUCGCCGGUGAAGAAGGUCCUGCUCUUUGUGGUGGGGUUGACGGUAGCCGGGUUAUGAAGCGCCGGCUAACUACGUG
This 500-nucleotide ribosomal RNA is filed under the name uncultured bacterium. Its description in RNAcentral is "partial 16S ribosomal RNA". It matches the Rfam family "Bacterial small subunit ribosomal RNA", at positions 28 to 507 of the family's 1533-position model. The record is from RNAcentral.